This 253-nucleotide ribosomal RNA is filed under the name uncultured bacterium. Its description in RNAcentral is "partial 16S ribosomal RNA". It matches the Rfam family "Bacterial small subunit ribosomal RNA", at positions 524 to 776 of the family's 1533-position model. The record is from RNAcentral.
GACAGAGGUCCCGAGCGUUAGGCGGAAUCACUGGGCUUAAAGCGUGUGUAGGCGGAUCGUUAAGUGCCUUGUGAAAUCCCAUGGCUUAACCAUGGAACUGCUUGGCAUACUGGCGGUCUUGAGCCACUUAGGGGCAACCGGAACAAAUGGUGGAGCGGUGAAAUGCGUAGAUACCAUUUGGAACGCCAAUGGUGAAAACAGGUUGCUGGGAGUGUGCUGACGCUGAGACACGAAAGCCAGGGGAGCGAACGGG